CCACAUCAGCAACAACCAGUCAAACAUCAAGUUCAACAGCAAGUCCAUCCACAACUUCUGCAACUACAUCGACACCAACAUCAGCAACAACCAGUCAAACAUCAAGUUCAAGAACAAGUCCAUCCACAACUUCUGCAACUACAUUGUCACCAACAUCAGCAACAACCAGUCAAACAUCUAGUUCAACAUCCACAAGCCCAUCCACAACUUCUGCAACUACAUCGUCACCAACAGCAAGCAAUAACCAGUCAAACAUCUAGUUCAACAUCCACAAGUCCAUCCACAACUUCUGCAACUACAUCAUCACCAACCACAUCAGCAACAACCAGUCAAACAUCAAGUUCAACAACAAGUCCAUCCACAACUUCUGCAACUACAUCGUCACCAACAUCAGCAACAACCAGUCAAACAUCAAGUUCAAUAUCUACAAGUCCAUACACAACUUCUACAACUACAUCAUCACCAACCACGUCAGCAACAACCAGUCAAACAUCAAGUUCAACAUCAACAAGUCCAUCCACAACUUCUGCAACUACAUCGUCACCAACCACAUCAGCAACAACCAGUCAAACAUCAAGUUCAACAACAAGUCCAUCCACAACUUCUGCAACUACAUCAUCACUAACCACAUCAGCAACAAGCAGUCAAACAUCAAGUUCAACAACAAAAAGUCCAUCCACAACUUCUGCAACUACAUCGUCACCAACGACAUCAGCAACAACCAGUCAAACAUCAAGUUCAAGAACAAGUCCAUCCACAACUUCUGCAACUACAUUGUCACCAACAUCAGCAACAACCAGUCAAACAUCUAGUUCAACAUCCACAAGCCCAUCCACAACUUCUGCAACUACAUCGUCACCAACAGCAGCAAUAACCAGUCAAACAUCUAGUUCAACAUCCACAAGUCUAUCCACAACUUCUGCAACUACAUCAUCACCAACCACAUCAGCAACAAGCAGUCAAACAUCAAGUUCAACAACAACAAGUCCAUCCACAACUUCUGCAACUACAUCGUCACCAACGACAUCAGCAACAACCAGUCAAACAUCAAGUUCAAGAACAAGUCCAUCCACAACUUCUGCAACUACAUUGUCACCAACAUCAGCAACAAGCAGUCAAACAUCUAGUUCAACAUCCACAAGCCCAUCCACAACUUCUGCAACUACAUCGUCACCAACAGCAGCAAUAACCAGUCAAACAUCUAGUUCAACAUCCACAAGUCUAUCCACAACUUCUGCAACUACAUCAUCACCAACCACAUCAGCAACAAGCAGUCAAACAUCAAGUUCAACAACAACAAGUCCAUCCACAACUUCUGCAACUACAUCAUCACCAACCACAUCAGCAACAACCAGUCAAACAUCAAGUUCAACAUCUACAAGUCCAUCCACAACUACAUCGUCACCAACCACAUCAGUAACAACCAGUCAAACGUCUAGUUCAACAUCCACAAGUCCAUCCACAACUUCUGCAACUACAUCAUCACCAACCACAUCAGCAAUAACCAUUCAAACAUCUAGUUCAACAUCAACAAGUCCAUUCACAACUUCUGCAACUACAUCGUCACCAUCCACAUCAGCAACCAGCAGUCAAACAUCAAGUUCAACAGCAAGUCCAUCCACAACUUCUGCAACUACAUCAUCACCAACCACAUCAGCAACAACCAGUCAAACAUCUAGUUCAACAUCCACAAGUCCAUCCACAACUUCUGCAACUACAUCAUCACCAACCACAUCAGCAACAACCAGUCAAACAUCAAGUUCAACAUCUACAAGUCCAUCCACAACUACAUCGUCACCAACGACAUCAGCAACAACCAGUCAAACAUCAAGUUCAACAUCUACAAGUCCAUCCACAACUACAUCGUCACCAACGACAUCAGCAACAACCAGUCAAACAUCAAGUUCAAGAACAAGUCCAUCCACAACUUCUGCAACUACAUUGUCACCAACAUCAGCAACAACCAGUCAAACAUCUAGUUCAACAUCCACAAGUCCAUCCACAACUUCUGCAACUACAUCGUCACCAACAACAGCAGCAAUAACCAUUCAAACAUCUAGUUCAACAUCCACAAGUCCAUCCACAACUUCUGCAACUACAUCAUCACCAACCACAUCAGCAACAACCAGUCAAACAUCAAGUUCAACAACAAGUCCAUCCAGAACUUCUGCAACUACAUCGUCACCAACAACAUCAGCAACAAGCAGUCAAACAUCAAGUUCAACAUCAACAAGUCCAUCCACAACUUCUGCAACUACAUCGUCACCAACCACAUCAGCAAAAAGCAGUCAAACAUCAAGUUCAACAGCAAGUCCAUCCACAACUUCUGCAACAACAUCAUCACCAACCACAUCAGCAACAACCAGUCAAACAUCAAGUUCAACAUCAACAAGUCCAUUCACAACUUCUGCAACUACAUCGUCACCAACCACAUCAGCAACAAGCAGUCAAACAUCAAGUUCAACAGCAAGUCCAUCCACAACUUCUGCAACUACAUCGUCACCAACAUCAGCAACAAGCAGUCAAACAUCUAGUUCAACAUCCACAAGUCCAUCCACAACUUCUGCAACUACAUCGUCACCAACCACAUCAGCAACAACCAGUCAAACAUCAAGUUCAACAGCAAGUCCAUCCACAACUUCUGCAACAACAUCAUCACCAACCACAUCAGCAACAACCAGUCAAACAUCAAGUUCAACAUCAACAAGUCCAUUCACAACUUCUGCAACUACAUCGUCACCAUCCACAUCAGCAACCAGCAGUCAAACAUCAAGUUCAACAGCAAGUCCAUCCACAACUUCUGCAACUACAUCAUCACCAACCACAUCAGCAACAACCAGUCAAACAUCUAGUUCAACAUCCACAAGUCCAUCCACAACUUCUGCAACUACAUCAUCACCAACCACAUCAGCAACAACCAGUCAAACAUCAAGUUCAACAUCUACAAGUCCAUCCACAACUACAUCGUCACCAACGACAUCAGCAACAACCAGUCAAACAUCAAGUUCAACAUCUGCAAGUCCAUCCACAACUACAUCGUCACCAACGACAUCAGCAACAACCAGUCAAACAUCAAGUUCAAGAACAAGUCCAUCCACAACUUCUGCAACUACAUUGUCACCAACAUCAGCAACAACCAGUCAAACAUCUAGUUCAACAUCCACAAGUCCAUCCACAACUUCUGCAACUACAUCGUCACCAACAACAGCAGCAAUAACCAUUCAAACAUCUAGUUCAACAUCCACAAGUCCAUCCACAACUUCUGCAACUACAUCAUCACCAACCACAUCAGCAACAACCAGUCAAACAUCAAGUUCAACAACAAGUCCAUCCACAACUUCUGCAACUACAUCGUCACCAACAUCAGCAACAACCAGUCAAACAUCAAGUUCAAUAUCUACAAGUCCAUCCACAACUUCUGCAACUACAUCAUCACCAACCACAUCAGCAACAAGCAGUCAAACAUCAAGUUCAACAUCAACAAGUCCAUCCACAACUUCUGCGACUACAUCGUCACCAUCCACAUCAGCAACAAGCAGUCAAACAUCAAGUUCAACAGCAAGUCCAUCCACAACUUCUGCAACUACAUCAUCACCAACCACAUCAGCAACAACCAGUCAAACAUCAAGUUCAACAUCUACAAGUCCAUCCACAACUACAUCGUCACCAACGACAUCAGCGACAACCAGUCAAACAUCAAGUUCAAGAACAAGUCCAUCCACAACUUCUGCAACUACAUUGUCACCAACAUCAGCAACAACCAGUCAAACAUCUAGUUCAACAUCCACAAGCCCAUCCACAACUUCUGCAACUACAUCGUCACCAACAGCAGCAAUAACCCGUCAAACAUCUAGUUCAACAUCCACAAGUCUAUCCACAACUUCUGCAACUACAUCAUCACCAACCACAUCAGCAACAAGCAGUCAAACAUCAAGUUCAACAACAAGUCCAUCCACAACUUCUGCAACUACAUCAUCACCAACCACAUCAGCAACAACCAGUCAAACAUCAAGUUCAACAUCUACAAGUCCAUCCACAACUACAUCGUCACCAACCACAUCAGUAACAACCAGUCAAACGUCUAGUUCAACAUCCACAAGUCCAUCCACAACUUCUGCAACUACAUUGUCACCAACAUCAGCAACAACCAGUCAAACAUCUAGUUCAACAGCAAGUCCAUCCACAACUUCUGCAACUACAUCGUCACCAACAUCAGCAACAAGCAGUCAAACAUCUAGUUCAACAUCCACAAGUUCAUCCACAACUUCUGCAACUACAUCAUCACCAACCACAUCAGCAACAAGUAGUCAAACAUCAAGUUCAACAACAAGUCCAUCCACAACUUCUGCGACUACAUCGUCACCAACAACAUCAGCAACAAGCAGUCAAACAUCAAGUUCAACAACAAGUCCAUCCACAACUUCUGCAACUACAUCGUCACCAACCACAUCAGUAACAACCAGUCAAACAUCUAGUUCAACAUCCACAAGUCCAUCCACAACGUCUGCAACUACAUCGUCACCAACCACAUCAGCAACUUCAGGUGUUGAGCCAAUCUAUAUUGUUUCAGCAACUUUACCUCAAGAGAUUUUUCGAGAAGAACUCACUAACCCCAACAGCACAACAUACAAAGAACUUGAAAGUCGAGUAAUAGACACGUGUACACCUAUCUACACAAGAAAAUAUGGAAAGAGAUUUGUCCGCUGCUUUGUGAAACAAUUCCGCCGUGCUGUGCGUCUACGAGAAGAUGCAACUGCAGCUGAUAUUGGGGUUGUGCUCCGCAACAAUAUCCCCAUUUCUGACCUCCCAAGUAACGACGAAAUUGCUGAAACUUUAGCAAUUGCAGCAAGUAGCAAUGAGACCUUAAGUGUGGCUCUGUCUGCAUCAUCAAUCCAAACUAUAUCUGGUCCAGUUCCUUUAACUACUGAGCCUGCAACUACAACAACCACAGUUGCAGCAACUACAACUCCUGCCAUGACAACAACCACAUCUGCAGCUGUUACAAUAAGUGUGUCAUUUAGAUCACGUCUCAGCACAUUUUCAAGUGACCUGCAGGAUACAUCUUCUGAAGCUUUUAAAAGUCGAGCUUCAAUGAUAAAAUCACAGCUUCAACCAUUGUUCAAGGAACAAUUUUCUUCCUUUAGGUUCAUGGAAGUGGUAUCAUUUAGAAAUGGCUCAGUCAUCAAUGACAUGACACUCGGCUUUGACAGUACGGCUGUCCCUCAUCACACCGUGAUUGCCAGUGUUUUAAUUAACGCAUCUUCGGUUGUCACUGGUUUUGACAUUGAAGGCAGCUCCAUUUCUGUAGAUGGCAUAGCAUCAAGUGGAGUCAACCAGAACAUGAGUCUCUUCACUGCAUUCUCUUUGGUACUGCUGUCAUGGAUACUGUCAAACCAGCAAUAAAAUUAUGAGUAUUGUCAUUUAUUGACAGCAUCCAGCAACACUUUAACAGCAGUGCGCAUCAUAAUAAUAAUAUAUAUAUUUAUGUUAUAUUACAAACUGUUCUGCAUUCUCCUGAUUUAUGAAGGUAACAUUAUAGACCUCCUUAUUACAAUGUUACAAUACUAUCACUGAGAAAAGAAAUGAAGUGACAAAUUACAACAAUCACAGUUCUUGAAAUUAUGUGUGUUUUAAAAAAACAUGUUAAUAUAUUUUAUUUUUAGAGACUUAUUUAAUCCUACUAAUCAAGAUGCUGUGAAAUCUUGUAAAACAUGAAAAGGUCAGAAUAAACAAAAAUGACUAAUUUUUAGUUUUUCUCAUGUUUUCCCUCAUCAUUAAAACACAAUUGUGAUUUAUACCAGCCAAUCAGACUGGUUGAUUCACCAUUGUUCAUUUGAAUAAAUUGGUAUACAAAUUGCUGAA
RNAcentral lists this long non-coding RNA (5862 nucleotides) under Takifugu rubripes (torafugu). Its description in RNAcentral is "lncRNA (ENSTRUG00000029576.1)". Lineage: Eukaryota; Metazoa; Chordata; Actinopteri; Tetraodontiformes; Tetraodontidae. The record is from RNAcentral.